This is a long non-coding RNA of Stegastes partitus (bicolor damselfish), 484 nucleotides long. RefSeq lists it as uncharacterized. Lineage: Eukaryota; Metazoa; Chordata; Actinopteri; Pomacentridae. The record is from RefSeq and is a predicted model, not a curated record. The transcript has 2 exons.
GCUUUAUUACUACAGUGUGAGACAGCGACACCCUGUGGUCGGCAAACGUAACAGCAGGCAUAAUACAACAAUGACUUAUUUUUAAAAAUUGUAUUACUGCGUAAUCGUAAAUCAUUUUCAACUUAUGACAACAGGCAGCAUUGAAGAGUGUGUGUAUAUGUAUAUAUAUACGAUAUUUUAUUUAUAUAAUGAGAGGUGGGGUUGAGUGUGCAAACUUGUUACUAACAUAAACAUACAUUUCAAAUAAAGGGCACUUCGGACACAGCUGACUGGAACUUUCUUGGCAACAAAUACGGUUUUCCACCACCACCACCAACUGCUGAAAAUGUGGUCCAGGGGGAGGCAAAAUGAAAAAAGAAAGAAAGAAAAAAAGAGACUGGCACCAGAGAUGCUAAACAGAUGACAGCAUGUCGUGAAUCCUGACAGAGACAAACGACUAUCAUUCUGCUGGUGUUAGCCUUCUUUAAAUAAACAUUAAAAAGUC